RNAcentral lists this ribosomal RNA (384 nucleotides) under uncultured bacterium. Its description in RNAcentral is "bacterial SSU rRNA". It matches the Rfam family "Bacterial small subunit ribosomal RNA", at positions 355 to 736 of the family's 1533-position model. The record is from RNAcentral.
UGAGGAAUAUUGGUCAAUGGGCGCAAGCCUGAACCAGCCAUCCCGCGUGAAGGAAGAAGGCGCUAUGCGUUGUAAACUUCUUUUCCAGGGGGAGAACUUUUCCGUCGUGACGGGAAUUGACGGUAAUCUGGGAAUAAGCAUCGGCUAACUCCGUGCCAGCAGCCGCGGUAAUACGGAGGAUGCGAGCGUUAUCCGGAUUUAUUGGGGUUAAAGGGUGUGUAGGCGGAUAGAUAAGUCAGUGGUGAAAUUCUGCAGCUUAACUGUAGACUUGGGGUUGAGAAAGUGAGGAUUAAGGUUGGUCAAGGCGGGCGGAAUGUGUAAUGGUGAGGUGGAAUGCUUAGAGAUUACAGAGAACACCGAGUGGGGAAGGAGGUUGCUGGGGCA